RNAcentral lists this transfer RNA (85 nucleotides) under Felis catus (domestic cat). It matches the Rfam family "tRNA". Rfam says of the family: Transfer RNA (tRNA) molecules are approximately 80 nucleotides in length. Their secondary structure includes four short double-helical elements and three loops (D, anti-codon, and T loops). Further hydrogen bonds mediate the characteristic L-shaped molecular structure. tRNAs have two regions of fundamental functional importance: the anti-codon, which is responsible for specific mRNA codon recognition, and the 3' end, to which the tRNAs corresponding amino acid is attached (by aminoacyl-tRNA synthetases). tRNAs cope with the degeneracy of the genetic code in two manners: having more than one tRNA (with a specific anti-codon) for a particular amino acid; and 'wobble' base-pairing, i.e. permitting non-standard base-pairing at the 3rd anti-codon position. The record is from Rfam by way of RNAcentral. Lineage: Eukaryota; Metazoa; Chordata; Mammalia; Carnivora; Felidae.
GCCUGGGUGGCUCAGUCGGUUAAGCGUCUGACUUCAGCUCAGGUCAUGAUAUCGCGAUUUGUGGGUUCGAGCCCCGCGUCGGGCU